UAAAAGCAUAAAUAAUUCUGUAGAAAACAGAAGCUCGCAUACCACUUCAUGUCUUCUCUGAUAACCAGCAGACACACAGGACAGUGUCUCUGUCGGAGCUAGAUGUGACGAUCCAGAAAGGGGAGAGUCUGGGUCGCGCUGAGGCUGGGGUCUUCAGAGGGACAGGUCAUUCGGCUGGCGAGGUGGUGUUUCCAGUGGAUGAGGUCGAGGCUGUCUGGGAGCACAUUUUCCCUCCAGGUCUCCUUCAACUUGACCACAGGUCAUUGGGUCAGAGAGCGUGUUUACAGCGCAGUAGAUGGAGCCCCUCAUGUUCCGGGGCCGCGGAGGUUAAGCUCUCUGCUGAACAUUGACCAGCAUCCGCAAUCAGGAGAACCCACUUGACCAGACCGUACAGCAGCCUGUAAUUGCAAUCGCAUAGGCUGUAGGACAUCAUGAAACAGCACAAUGUUAUUGUCAAGUGUGUCUGUUCUGAAAAUAUACAGUUCCUACUGUUAUUAUUGCACAGCAGAAAUUAUUUUCACCUCAGUUCCCAGUUUGUGAACAGCUCUAAAGAUGGUUGUGAACAGCUCAGUAUUCGAGUGUAGAGUGCUAGUGAUGGUAUUUGGCCCAUUCAUGCAGACAUCCAUUGAUCCAUGAGAGCACUGCUCAAUGCAUUAUGAGCACACUCCCUUACUCUGAGACAGAUUAGGAUUUCAACAGAUUAAAACAUAAAUCGUGACUGCAAAGGAUUGUCUCAGACAGUGAUUGGAUUGAGACCUUGACAUAAACCCAACAAAGCAGAGGUAGGGAGGGAGCAUUUAUAAAACUAAAAUGUGUGUGUGUGAAAGAGAAAAGCUAAAAUGAGCAUUUUUUGUGAAAAGACCAUUGAAAUUGUACCAAAACAUUAAAUUGUUCUCAGAAAUGAGCCAGUGCGUGAAAUUCAAUAUUCAGAGGUCCUCCCCAUCACCAGGGUGCCACACACUGGUUUGCUCUUCCAGUUGUUUUACUAUGAAGAGUGAGAGUACGCCACUAUGGGAUCGCUCUUGGCUUUAAA
This is a long non-coding RNA of Osmerus eperlanus (European smelt), 1033 nucleotides long. RefSeq lists it as uncharacterized. Lineage: Eukaryota; Metazoa; Chordata; Actinopteri; Osmeriformes; Osmeridae. The transcript is spliced from 3 exons. The record is from RefSeq and is a predicted model, not a curated record.